Molecule: long non-coding RNA, 495 nt
Filed under: Penaeus japonicus
Lineage: Eukaryota; Metazoa; Arthropoda; Malacostraca; Decapoda; Penaeidae
Description: uncharacterized LOC122265611
Source: RNAcentral
GCAGUUCCCUGCAACACCUAUUUCCAGUCUGUGCUUAUUGAUACGUCACCUUUUUCUGCAACAGGUUACAACAAAUAAGAAAAGGGGACCACUGCCUAGUAACCAUAUCAGCAGCCACUGCUAAAAAUUCGUCGAGCAGUUCAGUACUUAAAGAAAGUAGAACGGCUUUAGUGCCUGAAAAAGCACACCUGAGGGCAGCGGUUUCGCAGUUCGGGUGAAUCACACACGCGGUCGUGGGCAGUCGUUACGAGCACUUCAGUUCCUCCUGACGUGAAACUGGUUCAUCAUGAGCUUGGAGAUACCACGAAUGGCGAUACUCGCUGUACUGGUUUUUCUAUUCUUUAUCAGCUUAUUUUUAUCGAAGUUUCUAGAAAUGCAGCAAACAAGCGUGAUGCAGGGGAUACCACACCCUGAGCAUGUGAGGGACCUAGAAACAGCGACGCAGCCUUGUAUUCCUCAGAAUUCAGUGUACUUCCUCAAGGUUCCGAAGCGCGC